UACGGGAGGCAGCAGUGGGGAAUAUUGCACAAUGGGCGCAAGCCUGAUGCAGCCAUGCCGCGUGUAUGAAAAAGGCCUUCGGGUUGUAAAGUACUUUCAGUCGUGAGGAAGGUGUUAAGGUUAAUAACCUUAGCAAUUGACGUUAGCGACAGAAGAAGCACCGGCUAACUCCGUGCCAGCAGCCGCGGUAAUACGGAGGGUGCGAGCGUUAAUCAGAAUUACUGGGCGUAAAGGGCACGCAGGCGGUUAAUUAAGUUGGAUGUGAAAUCCCCGGGCUUAACCUGGGAAUGGCAUUCAAGACUGGUUAGCUAGAGUCUUGUAGAGGGGGUAGAAUUCCAUGUGUAGCGGUGAAAUGCGUAGAGAUGUGGAGGAAUACCGGUGGCGAAGGCGGCCCCGUGGACAAAGGACUGACGCUCAUGUGCGAAGCGUGGGGAGGCAACAGGGAUUAGAUACC
Molecule: ribosomal RNA, 454 nt
Filed under: uncultured bacterium
Lineage: Bacteria
Description: bacterial SSU rRNA
Rfam family: Bacterial small subunit ribosomal RNA
Source: RNAcentral